GACGAACGCUGGCGGCGUGCUUAACACAUGCCAGUCGAACGGAAAGGCCCUGCUUUUGUGGGGUGCUCGAGUGGCGAACGGGUGAGUAACACGUGAGUAACCUGCCCUUGACUUUGGGAUAACUUUAGGAAACUGGGGCUAAUACCGGAUAGGAGCUCCUGCUGCACGGUGGGGGUUGGAAAGUUUCGGCGGUUGGGGAUGGACUCGCGGCUUAUCAGCUUGUUGGUGGGGUAGUGGCUUACCAAGGCUUUGACGGGUAGCCGGCCUGAGAGGGUGACCGGCCACAAUGGGACUGAGAUACGGAGCAGAAGCGUACGGGAGGCAGUAGUGGGGAGUAUGACGCAAUGGGCGGAAGCCUGAGGCAGAAACGCCGCGUGCGGGAUGACGGCUUACUGGUUGUAAACAGCUUUCGCCUGAGACGAAGCGUGAGUGACGGUAAUGGGUAAGGAAGCACCGGCUAACUACGUG
This 468-nucleotide ribosomal RNA is filed under the name uncultured bacterium. RNAcentral's name for it is "partial 16S ribosomal RNA". It matches the Rfam family "Bacterial small subunit ribosomal RNA", at positions 28 to 507 of the family's 1533-position model. The record is from RNAcentral.